UAAGGAGUCAAAAGUUAAUUUGGGAACUCAUGAAAGACUUCCGCUCAGUGAGCAUAUCAGGUAUUAUGCCUCUAAAUAUGUUUUCCUUUUUCCUUUUGCUUCCUAUGUACGACGGAGGGGUAACCAGUGAUGGCAAAGAGGAAAACUGAGGAAAUGUGAGACAUGUGACACAUUUGAUGUCCCUGGCUGCUCGGUACAAUAUGGCUCCGAGUGUCCAUCUUCAAGUUGUAGAACGAUCAAGUCACGUGACACCAAGCCCUCAAGUUCAGCUACUCACCAGACAGUCGCCAGGAGAAUGAAAGUCACUGACCUCCAAGAUUCGUGAGGACAUCCACUGACGUUACAAAUGUCACAGCAUCAUGAGCCUCAAUGAAAUUAGCCUGUGUUGAGGACGUAAUACUGUUGUCAUGCAAAUGAGGCACUGCUCACACCGCCACCCACGAUUGCAGGGCCGUUGCUGCGUAUGGCUUUUAUGAUCAUGAUGUCUCGGAGCACCGCCAUACUCUACUGAAGCAAGUAUGAGCUUGAAGCUUUGCCCAAGCCCUAACCAUAACCACAAAGUUCGCCUUCAACCCAACCUUAACCCCUAAUUCCAAAUCUCAUACUCCUUACCCUCCACUUUAUCCGCAAUUUUAAGACCAACCGUAACAGGAACUCUAACCCCUAACCUUAACCCCAACCAAUAUCCCAAAACCCCAUAAAGAAAAUCAAAUGGUGACUUUUAUUUUCACUAAGCAAGGCAGUCCUCUCCCACCAAGCAGCCAAAUUUCACGUGUCAAAUAGGAUCCAUGUACGUGGUGCAUGUAGUGGACACACUGCCAAACACAACUACAACAAUGACCACAUUCACAGAAAAAAAAAAAAAAAAAAA
Hippocampus comes (tiger tail seahorse) is the source of this 871-nucleotide long non-coding RNA. RefSeq lists it as uncharacterized. The transcript is spliced from 4 exons. NCBI's taxonomy places the organism in Eukaryota, Metazoa, Chordata, Actinopteri, Syngnathiformes, Syngnathidae. The record is from RefSeq and is a predicted model, not a curated record.